GGGCGAUUAGCUCAGCUGGAUAGAGCAUCGGCCUUCGAAGCCGAGGGUCGCGGGUUCGAAUCCUGCAUCGCCCGCCA
RNAcentral lists this transfer RNA (77 nucleotides) under Pseudomonadota bacterium. Its description in RNAcentral is "tRNA-Arg". It matches the Rfam family "tRNA". From Rfam's summary of the family: Transfer RNA (tRNA) molecules are approximately 80 nucleotides in length. Their secondary structure includes four short double-helical elements and three loops (D, anti-codon, and T loops). The record is from RNAcentral. Lineage: Bacteria; Pseudomonadati; Pseudomonadota.